This 1366-nucleotide ribosomal RNA is filed under the name uncultured bacterium. Its description in RNAcentral is "16S ribosomal RNA". It matches the Rfam family "Bacterial small subunit ribosomal RNA", at positions 35 to 1396 of the family's 1533-position model. The record is from RNAcentral.
GCUAGCUACAGGCUUAACACAUGCAAGUCGAGGGGCUGCAUGGUCUUAGCUUGCUAAGGCCGAUGGCGACCGGCGCACGGGUGAGUAACACGUAUCCAACCUGCCGUCUACUCUUGGACAGCCUUCUGAAAGGAAGAUUAAUACAAGAUGGCAUCAUGAGUCCGCAUGUUCACAUGAUUAAAGGUAUUCCGGUAGACGAUGGGGAUGCGUUCCAUUAGAUAGUAGGCGGGGUAACGGCCCACCUAGUCUUCGAUGGAUAGGGGUUCUGAGAGGAAGGUCCCCCACAUUGGAACUGAGACACGGUCCAAACUCCUACGGGAGGCAGCAGUGAGGAAUAUUGGUCAAUGGGCGAGAGCCUGAACCAGCCAAGUAGCGUGAAGGAUGACUGCCCUAUGGGCUGUAAACUUCUUUUAUAAAGGAAUAAAGUCGGGUAUGGAUACCCGUUUGCAUGUACUUUAUGAAUAAGGAUCGGCUAACUCCGUGCCAGCAGCCGCGGUAAUACGGAGGAUCCGAGCGUUAUCCGGAUUUAUUGGGUUUAAAGGGAGCGUAGAUGGAUGUUUAAGUCAGUUGUGAAAGUUUGCGGCUCAACCGUAAAAUUGCAGUUGAUACUGGAUAUCUUGAGUGCAGUUGAGGCAGGCGGAAUUCGUGGUGUAGCGGUGAAAUGCUUAGAUAUCACGAAGAACUCCGAUUGCGAAGGCAGCCUGCUAAGCUGCAACUGACAUUGAGGCUCGAAAGUGUGGGUAUCAAACAGGAUUAGAUACCCUGGUAGUCCACACGGUAAACGAUGAAUACUCGCUGUUUGCGAUAUACUGCAAGCGGCCAAGCGAAAGCGUUAAGUAUUCCACCUGGGGAGUACGCCGGCAACGGUGAAACUCAAAGGAAUUGACGGGGGCCCGCACAAGCGGAGGAACAUGUGGUUUAAUUCGAUGAUACGCGAGGAACCUUACCCGGGCUUAAAUUGCAGAUGAAUUACGGUGAAAGCCGUAAGCCGCAAGGCAUCUGUGAAGGUGCUGCAUGGUUGUCGUCAGCUCGUGCCGUGAGGUGUCGGCUUAAGUGCCAUAACGAGCGCAACCCUUGUUGUCAGUUACUAACAGGUUCCGCUGAGGACUCUGACAAGACUGCCAUCGUAAGAUGUGAGGAAGGUGGGGAUGACGUCAAAUCAGCACGGCCCUUACGUCCGGGGCUACACACGUGUUACAAUGGGGGGUACAGAGGGCCGCUACCACGCGAGUGGAUGCCAAUCCCCAAAACCUCUCUCAGUUCGGACUGGAGUCUGCAACCCGACUCCACGAAGCUGGAUUCGCUAGUAAUCGCGCAUCAGCCACGGCGCGGUGAAUACGUUCCCGGGCCUUGUACACACCGCCCG